RNAcentral lists this ribosomal RNA (814 nucleotides) under uncultured archaeon. RNAcentral describes it as "bacterial SSU rRNA". It matches the Rfam family "Archaeal small subunit ribosomal RNA", at positions 52 to 872 of the family's 1478-position model. The record is from RNAcentral.
UGCGAGUCAUUGUAGCAAUACAAGGCAGACGGCUCAGUAACGCGUAGUCAAUCUACCCUAUGGACGGGAAUAACCUCGGGAAACUGAGAAUAAUGCCCGACAGAACAUUAUACCUGGAACGGUUUAUGUUUCAAAUGAUUUAUCGCCGUAGGRUGGGACUGCGGCCUAUCAGUUUGUUGGUGAGGUAAUGGCCCACCAAGACUAUUACAGGUACGGGCUCUGAGAGGAGUAGCCCGGAGAUGGGUACUGAGACACGGACCCAGGCCCUAUGGGGCGCAGCAGGCGAGAAAACUUUGCAAUGUGCGAAAGCACGACAAGGUUAAUCCGAGUGGUUUCUGCUAAAGAAACCUUUUGCUAGUCCUAGAAACACUAGUGAAUAAGGGGUGGGCAAGUUCUGGUGUCAGCCGCCGCGGUAARACCAGCACCUCAAGUGGUCAGGAUGAUUAUUGGGCCUAAAGCAUCCGUAGCUCGUUUUGUAAGUUUUCGGUUAAAUCCAUACGCUUAACGUAUGGGCUGCCGGGAAUACUGCAUAACUAGGAAGUGGGAGAGGUAGACGGUACUCGGUAGGAAGGGGUAAAAUCCUUUGAUCUAUUGAUGACCACCYGUGGCGAAGGCGGUCUACCAGAACACGUUCGACGGUGAGGGAUGAAAGCUGGGGGAGCAAACCGGAUUAGAUACCCGGGUAGUCCCAGCUGUAAACUAUGCAAACUCAGUGAUGCAUUGGCUUGUGGCCAAUGCAGUGCUGCAGGGAAGCCGUUAAGUUUGCCGCCUGGGAAGUACGUACGCAAGUAUGAAACUUAAAGGAAUUGGCGGG